This 253-nucleotide ribosomal RNA is filed under the name uncultured bacterium. Its description in RNAcentral is "partial 16S ribosomal RNA". It matches the Rfam family "Bacterial small subunit ribosomal RNA", at positions 524 to 776 of the family's 1533-position model. The record is from RNAcentral.
UACGGGGGGGGCAAGCGUUGUCCGGAUUUACUGGGCGUAAAGAGCGCGCAGGCGGUCGUUCAAGUCGAGUGUGAAAGCCCCCGGCUCAACUGGGGAGGGUCACUCGAUACUGAUCGACUCGAAGGCAGGAGAGGGAAGUGGAAUUCCCGGUGUAGUGGUGAAAUGCGUAGAUAUCGGGAGGAACACCAGUGGCGAAGGCGACUUCCUGGCCUGUUCUUGACGCUGAGGCGCGAAAGCUAGGGGAGCAAACGGG